RNAcentral lists this transfer RNA (74 nucleotides) under Halobacteriales archaeon QH_10_67_13. RNAcentral's name for it is "tRNA-Lys". It matches the Rfam family "tRNA". Rfam says of the family: Transfer RNA (tRNA) molecules are approximately 80 nucleotides in length. Their secondary structure includes four short double-helical elements and three loops (D, anti-codon, and T loops). Lineage: Archaea; Methanobacteriati; Methanobacteriota; Halobacteria; Halobacteriales. The record is from RNAcentral.
GGGCCGGUAGCUCAGUCUGGCAGAGCGACGGGCUCUUAACCCGUCGGUCGCGUGUUCAAAUCGCGCCCGGCCCG